Molecule: ribosomal RNA, 429 nt
Filed under: Bacteroidota bacterium
Lineage: Bacteria; Pseudomonadati; Bacteroidota
Description: Bacteroidetes bacterium partial 16S ribosomal RNA
Rfam family: Bacterial small subunit ribosomal RNA
Source: RNAcentral
UAGGGAAUCUUCCGCAAUGGACGCAAGUCUGACGGAGCAACGCCGCGUGAGUGAAGAAGGAUUUCGGUUCGUAAAACUCUGUUGUUAGAGAAGAACAGCGCAUAGAGUAACUGUUAUGCGUGUGACGGUAUCUAACCAGAAAGCCACGGCUAACUACGUGCCAGCAGCCGCGGUAAUACGUAGGUGGCAAGCGUUGUCCGGAUUUAUUGGGCGUAAAGCGAGCGCAGGCGGUCAAUUAAGUCUGAUGUGAAAGCCCCCGGGUAAACCGGGGAGGGUCAUUGGAAACUGGUUGACUGGAGUGCAGAAGAGGAGAGUGGAAUUCCAUGUGUAGCGGUGAAAUGCGUAGAUAUAUGGAGGAACACCAGUGGCGAAGGCGACUCUCUGGUCUGUAACUGACGCUGAGGCUCGAAAGCGUGGGUAGCAAACAGG